UCCCGAGUCUCGUAGUCGACUACAGUCCAGAGCAGAAGUGUUGCUGUAGUUUUAUUCACUCAGCUCAGCCUCAUUCCCCCGAGCUGCGAGGAUCUCCUCGCCACCGGCUUCAUGUUUGCUGACAUGGUGUCGCAGUUGACGUCUCUUCAGCAGGAGUUACUGAGCGCCUUGUUGGACUCGGGACUGACCAAGGACGAGCUUGUCCAGGCGCUGCACGAGCUAGAGCCGCGUCCGCCAAACUUCGCCAUCAAAACCGAGAAGCCUUUAUCCCCAGCCAGCGCUAACAGUGCCAGCGAUACGGACUCCAAGCCGGUGUACAUGACCCUGCAAGCCAGAGGGAGUAAAAUGUCCGGGGAUGAAGGCUCAGAGUCCGGGGAGGACUUCGACACGCCGCCUAUCCUGAGAGAACUGCAGGCGCUGAACACCGAGGAGGCCAACGAACAGCGCGCCAUGGUGGAGCGCAUGCUGGCGGAGGAUCCUUGGCGCUCUGCUCGCACUAUUAAAAGCUACAUGCAGCAGCACAACAUUCCUCAGCGCGAGGUGGUGGACGUAACAGGAUUGAAUCAGUCUCACCUCUCGCAGCACCUAAACAAAGGAACACCAAUGAAAACAACCAAACGAGCCUCGCUUUACGCCUGGUAUGCCCAGAAACAGCGAGAGAUUGAGCGGCAGUUCGAUCGUGUUCAAGGCUCCAGUGACUCAAGCAGUCAGGAUCAGGUGCUGUAUUUUUUCCCAGAAUUCCACCACAGCGGGCAGAACACGAGCUCCACGUCAGGGACACUCCCUGACGAAGGUGCCUUGGGUUCAAAAAGACUGAGACGGAACCGUUUUAAAUGGGGACCGGCGUCUCAGGAGAUCUUGUACAAGGCCUACGAGAGGCAGAAGAACCCCAGCAAAGAGGAGAGAGAAGCGCUGGUGGAGGAAUGCAACAGGGCCGAGUGUGUACAGAGGGGAGUGUCACCCUCUAAAGCCCACGGUCUCGGCUCGAACCUGGUCACGGAAGUUCGCGUCUAUAACUGGUUUGCUAACCGGCGCAAAGAAGAGGCUUUCAGACAGAAGCUGGCGAUGGACACAUAUCCGGUUCACAGCUUGAACCCCUUACUGCCUCCCACACACAGCCAGCACCAUCACAGCAGCCCAGAUACGAAACUCAGAUACAGCCAACAGGGAUCCAGCGACAUCACUUCGACGACCGGAAUCGGUCACCACGGCAACAGCCAGUUGGUGUUACAGCAGGUAUCUCCACCUGGCCUGGACCCCUGUCACAGCCUGUUGUCCCCCGAAGCCAAGAUGAUUUCAGCCUCGGGUGGAGUCUUACCCCCUGUGAGCACUCUGACUAACAUCCACAGUCUGUCUCAGUCAUCUCACCAUCACCAGCAGGCUCAGAGUCUCAUCAUGACCCUCGCUGCUCAGAGCCUGAGCGCUCCCCCAUCUCAGAACGUUCCCAUCAUUAACAGCAUGUCUGGACUGACGGCGUUGCAGCCCAUGCAGUUUCCACACAGCCCCAGUCUCACACCUCUUACCACUGCACACUCGUCUCAGCAGGCCUACACACACAUUAACGAUGAUAACGAAUCGGAUUUUGGUGCCUUCCCAAGUGUACUCGCCCAAGCAGGAGCCUCCUCAGUACUCUCACCCACCUCGAUUCUCCUCCAUGGACGCCGGUGCUAUCUCUCAUCUGAGUUCUAGCAAGCAGGAGGUUUGGGGUCAGAGCACAGGGUCAACCAUGAUACAACACCCCUGGAGCAGGUGUCCUUUGCAGGCCUGGUGACAGUGUACAGGCGUGAACAUACUACCUCGGCAGCUACAAGCGACAAGAGUGCCUUACCGCAGCGGCCUUGACGAUCUCUCAAGCCAAAGAACCGUAAAAGCAGAGCACUGCGAUCACUGAAGAACACAGAAUUGUUUUUUCACUUUCUGGAAGAAGAAAAGAGGAGGAUCGACUCUGUGGCACACCAUAACGCUCGUUAACGGGCUUCAGUUUAGCGUGUUUCCUGUCCAAAACAACAGAACCGUCAGACCGAGCCACAUCUGCACUGAGUAUUUGUCUGAUGAACUAGUGAACAUUCGUAGCAUUUGUACAGACCUACGCUAGGUUUUAAACGGACACGGCAAACACGGACUCGUGUAAAAUCCUGCAUCAGUCGACUUCAGUGGUGUAAAUAGUCCUAAAUGAGAUGUUCCUAAAAUUUCAGGUCAGAUUUGAGAUGAAGCAGGAGAAAAUAACGGUCCUGCUGUGUGCUGUAUGAUUCUGUAUUAUUCAAUUUCAUUUCAUGUAUUUCAUUGGAUCAUUUCAUGUUUUUGCUUAUAAUAAACAUAACAGAAGAGAAACCAGAAAAAAGUUACUCUCAGGGACUGAUCUCAUGCAUAAAAAAAUAUCUUGUGUCGAACAUCCUUCUGGACUUCAAUCAUAUAUAUAUUCCUGUAAACCUGUAAAUUGCAAUUUCUUUCAUUUGAUCUACAUCUAACAUCUGUAUUCGUCCCUGAGGGGUUUAUGUAGAUAUAUAUAAAUGCAUUAAGUUGCCACAGUGGAGUGAUUUUAUUUCCCAGAAUGCUCAGGGUGCUCAGCUUGAGGCAGGUUGUGAGAAAGAGAGCUGUAUAGGGAGGGAUGUUUAUUUUAGAUUCACCUCAUUAGGUCUAUUUCCUCUGACUCUGACCCGAACCUCUGCUCACACGGUGUGAAGAGUCACUCCGAGGAAAUGAGCAAAUGAAGUCAUUCUGUUAUUGUUUUGUUUUUUCGGUUAUCGUAUGAACUUUCCAGGCUGUGAUUAAAACUCCUGAGAGAAAACCACAAACAAAACGCUUAACAUCAAAUUGGAAGAUAAAAAAAAAAACUGAUGAAAAAAUGAUGACUAGGAAUUAAUUUUUUUAAAAGAAAAAAAGUCACAUUUCAGUGUAUUAUAUAAUGAUAGUGUAGUUUGUACAUUAGACCAAGCUAAUAUUAUUGUUAAUAAUAAUAGUGUGUAGUAUAACUUGAUGAGAUCAUUACUUCCUGUGGUUUUGUUGUUUAUACAAAUUAUUUUCCCUGAGGUUUGUCUACCAAAUAUUUGACAAUAUCUAUUAAAUUUGUAUUCGUUA
RNA transcript from Hemibagrus wyckioides, 3078 nucleotides. It is a transcript of the gene named HNF1 homeobox Bb, with no coding region annotated. The record is from RefSeq and is a predicted model, not a curated record. The transcript is spliced from 10 exons. NCBI's taxonomy places the organism in Eukaryota, Metazoa, Chordata, Actinopteri, Siluriformes, Bagridae.